Helianthus annuus (common sunflower) is the source of this 508-nucleotide long non-coding RNA. RefSeq lists it as uncharacterized. The transcript is spliced from 3 exons. The record is from RefSeq and is a predicted model, not a curated record. Lineage: Eukaryota; Viridiplantae; Streptophyta; Magnoliopsida; Asterales; Asteraceae.
UCCUUUUGAUUUUUUUUUAGAUCUGAACGGGUGUGUUUUUCCGAUUAUGAUGUCUACAGUAGUCGAUGAUGAUGAUGUUCAGUUAGAAAUGUUCAACUUCAGAUGGACUCGGUUCAGGUUUCAAGGUCGAGGUUUGGUAAAGCAUGUGUUCACUCGGUCCAGAUUCAGCUGUGGUAGUGGGGAUUAUUUAGGUUCGGUUCACACGGGUUCGGUCAAGACAAGUCAAACUGGUCAAUGGUUCGGUUCGGGUCAAGCGGGUUGGUCGGUCUCAGCUUUGGUUCCGGUUGACUCGGUCAAACCGAGUCGACUCAGUCAAACUCAGGUCAACAGCGGGUCAACUCAGUCGACGCAAGACCCGGAAUACUAUAGAUGCACGCUAGCUAAUUACCGUUCUUGGAACGAUACUUCGGAAUCACACUAAGCUAGCAUUGCACAGGAACGUCAAGGUUGCAUUUUCAAAACUAUGGAAUGGUUCGAAUAGGAGAACCCAUGGGAAUUCGAGUACUUA